RNA transcript from Myotis lucifugus (little brown bat), 6145 nucleotides. It is a transcript of the gene named shroom family member 2, with no coding region annotated. The transcript has 11 exons. The record is from RefSeq and is a predicted model, not a curated record. Lineage: Eukaryota; Metazoa; Chordata; Mammalia; Chiroptera; Vespertilionidae.
AAGCAGGGCGGCCUCAGGGCCCAGAUGGCCGCUUUCCCCCCUCGGUUGAAGAAGGAAGCAAAGCUGCAGCGGUGGACAAGUUACUGGCAGGAGACGAGAUCGUGGGCAUCAAUGACAUCGGCCUCUCGGGGUUCAGACAGGAAGCGAUUUGCCUGGUGAAGGGGUCCCAUAAGACCCUGAAGCUGGUGGUAAAAAGGAGGAACGAGCUGAGCUGGAGGCCCCACUCCUGGCACGCCACCAAGUUCUCCGACAGCCACCCCGAGACGCCCACCUGCCAGCUGUCCUCCGCCGGCGCCUGCCCGUCCUGGCACGGCCGACACCACGCCAGCGCCUCCUCCCAGGAUCUGUCGGGUGUGUGGGAGCCGACGAGCCUGCAGCGCACCUCGGACCACUUCAGCUCUCUGGGCAGCGUGGACAGCCUGGACCAGCCCUCCCAGCCCUCGCCCUCCGGCCGCCUCUCGGCCGCCAAGUCCAGCGGCAGCAUCGACCACCUGGGCGGCCCGAGCAAGCGGGACUCGGCGUAUGGCUCGUUCUGCACCAGCUCCAGCACGCCCGACCACACCCUGCCCAAGGCCGAUGCCUCGUCCACGGACAACAUCCUCUACAAAGUGGGCCUGUGGGAGGCGUCACGGCCAGGUGGCCGGCAGGACCCUCAGGGCCUAGAGGAGAGGCCCGGAGGCUUCCCCCCCAGGGGCCCCCUGGACAGCAGCAGGAGCCCCCGGCCAGAGGACGUGCCCGAGCCCAAGCUGGCCACGUCGGGGCGGUCCAGCUUUGGGCCCAUCUGGCACGUUCCCGAUAAGAAGAGGGCACCUCCUUCCCCCCCGCCACCGCCGCCCCCUCUGCGCAGUGACAGCUUCGCCGCCACCAAGAGCCACGAGAAGGCCCAGGGCCCUUCAUUCCCCGAGGCGGCCACCGCGCAGCACUUUCCUGGCCUGAGCCGGGCUCAGUCCCAGGGCGACUGGAGGGCAGAGCCCGCCGAUCCGCAGCGGAAGCUGGCACGCCCUGGUGAGCGGAGGCGGCCGGAGAGCUCGGGCUGUGCAGCGGCUGCCCCCCUGGACUGCGGGUGGCCGUCCAACCCUGGCGCCCCCAGCCGGCUCCACGCCUCUCUGUCCAGCACCGACGUGCGUUUCCCGCCAUCUGCCCACGCGUGCCAGCAUCAGCGCCAGUGCAGCGACGAGAGCCCCUUCCUCCACGAGGGCCUCAGGGCUGCCGUGGUGCCCAGGGGGCAGCCGCGUGGCACCCUCGCUGGGGCCCUGCAGGAGGCCCCCGCCCACAGCUUCCAGGACGCCAGCCCCACCCCGGCCAGGCAGCCCAGUGCUGCCGACCGGAAGGGGGACAGCGCUGGGCAGAGCCACCACCACUCCGUGGCCACCAGACAGGGCCCCCAGGGAGGCGCACAGGCGGCUCAGCCCCGGGACAGCUGCUGGCGCUGCAGCUCCCCUCUGGGGGCCCAUGCUUGUCCUGCCACACACCCGGCGGGCCAGAAGCCACGCUGUCACCCCCCUCAGCACCAGGAGUCCCUGGACGCCCACAAGGGGGAGCGGGGCGACCCAGGGGACAGAGGAUUGGAGGAGCCACAGAGAGCCCCGCCACGGCGACAGAGCCGGCGUGCAGAGAGUCGGCCGCCGGGGAGAGCGGCCAAGAUCUCGGCCCACGGGACGCCCCUGCUGCACUCGCUGACCCGGGAUGGGCCCCGGCCCGAGGACGGCCUGGAGGGCGGCAGGGAGAGGCCAGCGCCCUUCGAUGCCCAGGUGGGCAAAGCCACCCGGAGGAGCGACCGCUUCUCCACCACCCUCCGCAACGAGAUCCAGCUGCGGCGCGCCCGGCUGCAGAAGAGCAAGAGCUCCGUGGCGCUGGCGGCGCCCGCCGAGGCCGCUGGGGAGGCCGGCAGCUGGCGGGGGGCUCUGGGGGGGCCUGCCCCGGGAGCUCCAUUGCUGGGCACCUACAAGGACCACCUGAAGGAGGCCCAGGCCCGCGUCCUGCGGGCCACGUCAUUUAAGCGCCGCGACUUGGACCCCAGCCCAGCGGACCGUUAUGCAGCGUCCCGGGAACCCAGGGCCGGGGACCACCGCCCAGAUCUCGAUGCCGCCCCCCAGGGGGUGGGCCCGGCCAGGCCACCCUCAUCCGGAGGGGGCCCGUCCCACGUGGCCCGCAUUGGGGGCCGGAAGCGGUUCACGGUGGAGCAGAAACUGAAGUCGUACUCGGAGCCGGAGAAGAUGAAUGAGGUGGGGCUCUCGGGGGAUCACUGCCCCCGCCAGCACUCCGAGGACACCGUGGGGACGUUCGCCGACAGGUGGAAGUUUUUCGAGGAGACCAGCAGGCUGGUUCCGCAGAGGCCCAGGUCGAGGCAGGCGCUCCCUGGGGUCCCGAAGGAGAAGCCGGACAGGCCGCGGGCCACGCGCCUCGGGGACCAGGGCGCCGAGCCUCGGCCCCAGGACAGGGCCCGCACCACCUCCUUUGGAGAAAACGCCGAUGGUCCCAGGAAAGCAGGAAGGACCGGGAAAUCGGAACCGCCCCAGAGGCUCGGGACCUUUGCAGAGUAUCAAGCCUCUUGGAGGAAACAGAGCAAAGGCCCGGAAGCCAGGGGCUCGGGGAGGUACCACUCAGCUGACGACAUCCUGGACGUGGGCCUGGACCAACAGGAGAGGCUGCAGUAUGUUCACGAGAGGUCACGGUCAUCGCCCUCCACAGACCUCUACAAACAGGAGGCGCCCAUCGAGCCGAGGCGACAAGCGGAGGACCCUGGCGAGCACAGAGAACAUCCCUCCACAGUCCCGGCCGAGGAUGGGGGUCCCGCCCCGAGACAAGCAGAUGCCCAGUGUCCGGAAGACGGUCCAGGAGCACAUCGGGGCCUGCGGCACCCGGCCCAGGGGUCUGAGCCAUCUCGCGCCCCAGAAGCCCCAGAGGUGCCCCAGGAGGGCCGAGGCAGGGCGGGCACCCUCCCCCGUGAUUACAGAUACUCCGAGGACCACGCACCUGCUGUCCCACUGCCACCGCCAGGCCCAGGGUCACAGGCGCAGAGCGGCCUCUCGGCCCCGCACGCCGGGGGGCAGGACCCUCGGCCUGUGAGUGCCGCGCCGCUCGCCAAGAGACCUGCCCCGCAGAGGCCGCCACCGCCCAAGCGGGAGCCCAGGCCUUUCAGGGGACCAGCCAGUGCCACCCCCGCGGGCACCCCUGCGGGCAAUCACCUGGCUGUGCCCAGCAGGCCCCUUCCCCCGCCGCCAUCUCCCGCCCGCAGCCCCUGUGUCUUGGCGGAGAAGCCGAGCGGUGCCCAGCCCGCAGACGGCCCCAAGGCCCCCGGGGAGCAGGACAGGCAGCAUGUAGAUGAGCACCCAGCCUGUCCGAAGCGAGAAGCCCUGCUCCCUUCCAAGUUCCGGCCCCUGCAGACAUCCGCCAUGGAGACCUCGCGCUCCCCUUCUCCUCAGUUCGCCCCCCAGAAACUGACGGACAAGCCCCCCCUGCUCAUCCAGGAUGACAGCUCAACAAGCGCCUGGCUCUCUGUUGGCAGAAUCGAGCGGGUGAUCGACAACACCACGGUGAAGAUGGUGCCCAUCAAGAUCGUGCACUCGGAGAGCCAGCCCGAGAGGGAGAGCCGCCAGGGCCUGGCCCGCGCCGCCGAGCCGCCCGCGCUGCCCAGCGGGCUGGAGCGAGACCAGAUCAAGACGCUGAGCACGUCGGAGCAGUCCUACUCCCGCUUCUGCCUGUACAGCCGCCCAGGCACCGAGCCCCAGCCCCGGGCCCAGCCCCCCGCCGCCCCCGACAGCCGGGCCUCCCCGCCUGCGCUCAGCUACGGGAAGGCCAGGGAGAGGACCGCCGAGGACCUGAAGUCGGAGGAGCUGGCACGGGAGAUCGUGUGCAAGGACAGGUCCCUGGCGGACAUCCUGGACCCCAGCGUGAAGGUCAGGACCACCAUGGACCUGAUGGAGGGUAUCUUCCCCAAGGACCAGCAGCUCCUGGAGGAAGCGCAGCAGCGCCGGAAGCUGCUGCCCAAGGUCCCCUCUCCCAGGGCCGCGGAGGACAAGAGAGAGGAGCCCAGCGUGCCUUCAGCCGUGUCCCUGGCCACCAAUUCCGCGUACUACAGCACAUCGGCCCCCAAGGCGGAGCUGCUGAUUAAGAUGAAGGACCUGCAGGAGCAGCAGGAGCCCGAGGAGGACUCGGGGAGUGACCUGGACCACGACCUAUCUGUGAAGAAGCAGGAGCUUAUCGACAGCAUCGGCCGCAAGCUGCAGGUGCUGCGGGGCGCGCGGGAGAGCCUGCUGGAGGACAUCCAGGCCAACAGCACCCUUGGGGACGAGGUGGAGGCCAUCGUCAAGGACGUGUGCAAGCCGAACGAGUUCGACAAGUUCCGCAUGUUCAUCGGGGACCUGGACAAGGUGGUGAACCUCCUGCUGUCCCUGUCGGGGCGCCUGGCCCGCGUGGAAAACGCCCUCAACAACUUGGACGACAGCGCUUCUCCUGGGGAUCGGCAAUCGCUGCUCGAGAAGCAGCGGGUCCUCGUUCAGCAGCACGAGGACGCCAAGGAGCUCAAGGAGAACCUGGACCGCCGGGAGCGCGUGGUGUUCGACAUCCUGGCCAGCUACCUGAGCGACGAGAGCCUGGCCGACUACGAGUACUUCGUCAAGAUGAAGUCGGCCCUCAUCAUCGAGCAGCGGGAGCUGGAGGACAAGAUCCACCUGGGCGAGGAGCAGCUCAAGUGCCUGGUGGACAGCCUGCAGCCCGAGAGGAGCAAAUGAGCGGCCUCCUGGGGGCGGAGCCGGCCUGCGCACCGCCCCGGGCAGCGGGCCCCAGCCUGGAUGGAUGUCCCGUAGUGAGAACCCUCUUGUAGCGAUGUGGCUGUUAGAAAAGCGAUAACUCGUGUUUGUCUGGGGAGAUGCAUUGGGUGUCUAGUUUCCCUGUGGAUGCUGAGCAGAGCGGCUCCCCGUGGGGUGUUGUCCUUUACAAGGAGCCCCACGGGGCACGGGCCCUGGUGGCUGGCGAGCUUCUGCCAUGGAGACCACAGGCUCUGUCCCGUGCUGCACGCGAGGGCCCCUUGGCGGCGGUCGCUCUGGCUUCCUGUGUCUUCCGCUGCCAAACCAGCCGCUUGGGCAGCGCUCAGCGAGUCCCCAGAGUGCACAGGAGGGGCCACCUGGCGCACGCCUUCUCUUGUGAUCCACGAGAGGUGGCCUGCCACGUUUUAUGCGUGUCCGUCCCAUGCUGUUAGCGUUCACUGUCUCAUAUAACGUGCUCUCUGACCCAGCACAAACCUGUGAUGAUGAAGACGGUGAUAAUUUAUUAACAUAGUAGUUUCCAAGUGGUUAGAAACCAACUGUGAAAUGCAUAGCCUGUGUGUUGGGUCGCUCAUUCUAAAAGCGCCACUCGAGUCGUGUGCAUGCCUUCAAAGCCGCGCACCAAGCAGACAGCUUCAGUCCGUCCCACCCGGCGGCGCGGGUCAGGCGUGUUCCCGCAACGUGAAACGCCUGGUAAAAGCAUGCCCUGAAGGCCCAUUCCGUUUCCUAAGAGCCCGCCUCCGGACUUCCGGGGGUCCCUCUGCAACUUUGCCACAGAGUUGACGGAUCCCGGGCCCUUUUUAUUGGUUGACAUUGCAAGAUUCUGAAGAGUCUAUUCACUUAAAAGACAAACACUGUCAUGAUGUCAAUUUGCAGUUGACAAGUCAGGCUGGGAGAAAUGGUUUGCAAAUCACAUAUGUGACAAAGGAAUCAUCUCCAGAAUAUAUAAAGAACUCUGUACAACUCAACCGCAAGAAGACCAACAGUCCAGCUGAAACAGGGGCAAAAGAUUUCACCAAAGAGGACCUAUGCGUGGCACGUAAGCGUAGGAGAAAGAUGGUCAACCGCCAAUGGCUGGGUGGUAACUUAUUUUUACCUAAAUCACUGUGGAGCCGGUAUGUUUCUUCUCAGAUGCUCAGCUGAUGCAGCGCGUGCUUACUGGUGGGGAACCCCUGGGAUGAGUUCAUGUCAGGGUAGCGUGGGCACUUGUUGGAUGGAGGGGUUAUUUGAAUCCCGUUUCCCCUUAUUCCCUAUACAAGAAGUUUUCCAGCGGGUGGGGAGACCUCUCUGUCAGCAGUGACUGCCAUCUAACCAAACCACACACCCACCAGUGUCUUAGGACCACGGUCCACGCUUCCUGAGCCGGAGGCGGCGGUGAA